Molecule: small RNA, 57 nt
Filed under: Pyrobaculum aerophilum str. IM2
Lineage: Archaea; Thermoproteati; Thermoproteota; Thermoprotei; Thermoproteales; Thermoproteaceae
Description: sRNA, predicted to direct ribose methylation of 23S at U2625
Source: RNAcentral
GUUAGUGAUGAGGGGAUCGAUGGAGGGAAAUGUGACGACGGAAGAGACGACCUGAUA